RNAcentral lists this ribosomal RNA (468 nucleotides) under uncultured bacterium. RNAcentral describes it as "partial 16S ribosomal RNA". It matches the Rfam family "Bacterial small subunit ribosomal RNA", at positions 28 to 507 of the family's 1533-position model. The record is from RNAcentral.
GACGAACGCUGGCGGCGUGCUUAACACAUGCAAGUCGAACGGAAAGGCCCUGCUUUUGUGGGGUGCUCGAGUGGCGAACGGGUGAGUAACACGUGAGUAACCUGCCCUUGACUUUGGGAUAACUUCAGGAAACUGGGGCUAAUACCGGAUAGGAGCUCCUGCUGCAUGGUGGGGGUUGGAAAGUUUCGGCGGUUGGGGAUGGACUCGCGGCUUAUUAGCUUGUUGGUGGGGUAGUGGCUUACCAAGGCUUUGACGGGUAGCCGGCCUGAGAGGGUGACCGGCCACAAUGGGACUGAGAUACGGCCCAGACUCCUACGGGAGGCAGCAGUGGGGAAUAUUGCACAAUGGGCGGAAGCCUGAUGCAGCAACGCCGCGUGCGGGAUGACGGCCUUCGGGUUGUAAACCGCUUUCGCCUGUGACGAAGCGUGAGUGACGGUAAUGGGUAAAGAAGCACCGGCUAACUACGUG